CAGCCGCCACGGUAACACCGAGGGUGCGAGCGUUAAUCGGAUUUACUGGGCGUAAAGCGUGCGUAGGCGGCUUUUUAAGUCGGAUGUGAAAUCCCCGAGCUUAACUUGGGAAUUGCAUUUGAUACUGGGAAGCUAGAGUAUGGGAGAGGAUGGUAGAAUUCCAGGUGUAGCGGUGAAAUGCGUAGAGAUCUGGAGGAAUACCGAUGGCGAAGGCAGCCAUCUGGCCUAAUACUGACGCUGAGGUACGAAAGCAUGGGGAGCAAACAGGAUUAGAUACCCCCGUAGUCCCUGUCUCUUAUAU
This 301-nucleotide ribosomal RNA is filed under the name uncultured bacterium. RNAcentral describes it as "partial 16S ribosomal RNA". It matches the Rfam family "Bacterial small subunit ribosomal RNA", at positions 509 to 809 of the family's 1533-position model. The record is from RNAcentral.